GUCACUGAUUUUAUCACUGAGUCAUUCAUUCAAUUGAUUUGUUUGAAUGGCUGAAUCAUUCAGGUAUGAAGCGAACACUUUAAUCCCUAUGAAGUUAAAGUUCACAUAAAGAGGAAAUUCCAAGUUAUACACAACAGGUUUUUCGGUGAUCUCAAAUGUUGGUCUCCCUAAACUUGCCCCUUUAGCCAGCAGCCACUGACGUUAGCUCAUUAUGCCUCUAUUAAGGUGCCAAAAAACUCCCUCUGUUUGGACUUGUGUUGAGCUGCUCAUAGGAACUUGAGGUCAUGAUUUUAUAGCCAGCCAUCACUAGAUCCAUUGACCCACAGGGAUGGGACUCUGUUCAGCUGAAUGCUUCUUCUCUUCUCUAGCUGGCACACGAGAGACCAAGGCAAUGCUUCUGCUUGAACUUGUUGGUGCUACGAGUUUGCCGUUAUACCUCCGGGAGAGCUGUCUGGGUGAUUGACGUGCAAAUACACAAAACUCUGCGGUCAGUGGUCAACCCUGCAACAUACAUGUGUUUAUGAUUGUUGUUUCAGCCUUUCUCAUCUCUGCCCUGGUUUUCUUCUUUUACUGUAGUGUUUUUAAUCUUUCUCGAGACAUCCUUGUGUGCUGCAAAAGAGUUUGACUCUCACAUACCUCUACUGAUUAUCAGGAACCGCCAGUUGUCCAUCUGUUUGUUUGUUUGUUUUCUAUUGCUGUUGAAAGAUGGACAUGAAUUCAGAUUCACACCUCAAAACGCAGAGCAUGUUCAAUCAAAUUGCUCCAGUGGUUUUACAUGUUUUGGAUUACACAUACAAAACGUACACGCCAACGUAGAUAUUCAACAGACUCAAAGUCAUUGCACAGACAAUCAAUGUGUUCGUAGAGAGUGUUAUAAAAAGAUGUGGAGGGAAGUAAGGGCCACAGCCAGGGUCCAAAAUUAACAUUUUGCCACACCUGACAGUGUUUACUCUUCGCUAAGCUCCACGAUACCUUAGUUAUGGUUGCUUGCAAAACGUCCCAUGUGAAAGUGAAAUAAAUUUGUAUUUUUUAAUGUGUGCAAAAUUUGUUUUACAGCUUUUCCCAAAAUUAUUUUUGUUGCAAAAAAAAUACAAUCUGUGACGGAUGAUUCUUUUGUAGAUUUUAGUAAUUUGCAUGCAUUUCAUUUUAAAUGCUCACAUACAUAUGUGAGAUUCAGAAUAUUGUUUUUACAAUUUGAUUUACGUAAUGCAUUAUGUUGCGGUGUCUUAUGUACUUGAGAAAGGCUUUUUUUUUGCCAAAAGUUAAUUUUGGACCCUGGCCACAGAUCGACGCAUGCAUGCACAGACACGCUGGGAGUCAAUACUAUUUCCUCUGAGCGCACAGGUAAAAAAA
Molecule: long non-coding RNA, 1353 nt
Organism: Sinocyclocheilus grahami
Lineage: Eukaryota; Metazoa; Chordata; Actinopteri; Cypriniformes; Cyprinidae
Exons: 2
Source: RefSeq, a predicted model, not a curated record